Molecule: long non-coding RNA, 214 nt
Organism: Saccostrea echinata
Lineage: Eukaryota; Metazoa; Mollusca; Bivalvia; Ostreida; Ostreidae
Exons: 3
Source: RefSeq, a predicted model, not a curated record
CCCAGCAGUGAUUAUUAUGGGAUCCCGGUCUGAUAAAGAAGAAUUGUCAAUUGCUGAGAACUUUAAAACCAAUGACAACAAAGACAGGGCAUCCAACCUGAGACAAAUCAAUUUUUUGGGAGAGUCUAGUAUCCAAGAUUAUUUUAAAGACGACAAUUCAGUAACAGAUGAAUCAUAUUUUGCAACUAUGAAAAGUGUAUCUCCAGAGGACCCC